UCGGUUGUGCUUUCUCUCGCUCUUCAAACAAGAGUGCUGCUUUUUCCAUGCUGUAUGGAUCACUGAAGGGGAGAGACGUGUAUCCCAAAAAACAUUAAUUGUGCUCUGUGUAUUUCUGCAGACCUGCUUCUUCAGAAUAAACCUUCCUGAGACCUGCUCCACCUGUAUUGUCAUCUUUGAGAGCAACAAAACACAACCAGAGUAAAACUGCUA
Long non-coding RNA from Megalobrama amblycephala (Wuchang bream), 213 nucleotides. RefSeq lists it as uncharacterized. The transcript is spliced from 3 exons. The record is from RefSeq and is a predicted model, not a curated record. Lineage: Eukaryota; Metazoa; Chordata; Actinopteri; Cypriniformes; Xenocyprididae.